Molecule: small nuclear RNA, 109 nt
Organism: Artibeus jamaicensis (Jamaican fruit-eating bat)
Lineage: Eukaryota; Metazoa; Chordata; Mammalia; Chiroptera; Phyllostomidae
Source: RefSeq, a predicted model, not a curated record
GUGCUUGCCUCGCUUCGGCAGCGCGUGUACUGAAAUGGGAACAGCACAGAGGAGAUUAGCGUGGUCCCUGCACAAGGAUGGCACGCAGAUUCGGGAAGUGUCCGUAUUU